GAGACUGACCGGUGUUAAACCGGAGGAAGGUGGGGAUGACGUCAAGUCCUCAUGGCCUUUAUGCUUAGGGCUACACACGUGCUACAAUGGGUGGUACAAAGAGAAGCCAACUCGCGAGAGCGCGCCAAUCUCAAAAAGCCAUCCUCAGUUCGGAUUGGAGUCUGCAACUCGACUCCAUGGAGUUGGAAUCGCUAGUAAUCGCGGAUCAGCAUGCCGCGGUGAAUACCGGUUCCCGGGCCUU
This 241-nucleotide ribosomal RNA is filed under the name uncultured Smithella sp. RNAcentral describes it as "partial 16S ribosomal RNA". It matches the Rfam family "Bacterial small subunit ribosomal RNA", at positions 1145 to 1382 of the family's 1533-position model. Lineage: Bacteria; Pseudomonadati; Thermodesulfobacteriota; Syntrophia; Syntrophales; Smithellaceae. The record is from RNAcentral.